GGCUUUCUGGCCCUAUACUGACGCUGAGACGCGAGAGCGUGGGUAGCAAACAGGAUUAGAUACCCUGGUAGUCCACGCUGUAAACGAUGUUCACUAGGUG
RNAcentral lists this ribosomal RNA (100 nucleotides) under uncultured bacterium. RNAcentral describes it as "partial 16S ribosomal RNA". It matches the Rfam family "Bacterial small subunit ribosomal RNA", at positions 723 to 822 of the family's 1533-position model. The record is from RNAcentral.